GGUUGGAUGGCCGAGUGGUCUAAGGCGCUAGAAUCAGGUGACAUCUUCGUAGUCAGGUGACAAGUAUCUAGUCCGAAAGGGCAGGGGUUCGAAUCCCCUUCCAAUCA
Molecule: non-coding RNA, 107 nt
Organism: Mycena rebaudengoi
Lineage: Eukaryota; Fungi; Basidiomycota; Agaricomycetes; Agaricales; Mycenaceae
Source: the annotation of a GenBank genome assembly